RNAcentral lists this ribosomal RNA (526 nucleotides) under uncultured bacterium. RNAcentral describes it as "bacterial SSU rRNA". It matches the Rfam family "Bacterial small subunit ribosomal RNA", at positions 984 to 1509 of the family's 1533-position model. The record is from RNAcentral.
ACAUCCAGAGAAUUUAGCAGAGAUGCUUUAGUGCCUUCGGGAACUCUGAGACAGGUGCUGCAUGGCUGUCGUCAGCUCGUGUUGUGAAAUGUUGGGUUAAGUCCCGCAACGAGCGCAACCCUUAUCCUUUGUUGCCAGCACGUAAUGGUGGGAACUCAAAGGAGACUGCCGGUGAUAAACCGGAGGAAGGUGGGGAUGACGUCAAGUCAUCAUGGCCCUUACGAGUAGGGCUACACACGUGCUACAAUGGCGCAUACAAAGAGAAGCGACCUCGCGAGAGCAAGCGGACCUCAUAAAGUGCGUCGUAGUCCGGAUUGGAGUCUGCAACUCGACUCCAUGAAGUCGGAAUCGCUAGUAAUCGUAAAUCAGAAUGUUACGGUGAAUACGUUCCCGGGCCUUGUACACACCGCCCGUCACACCAUGGGAGUGGGUUGCAAAAGAAGUAGAUAGCUUAACCUUCGGGAGGGCGUUUACCACUUUGUGAUUCAUGACUGGGGCGAAGUCGUAACAAGGUAGGCGUAGUGCU